UUUCUUGCUUAGGUGGCAUCUAUGUUGCUAUCUAUGUUACUCCCAUUGUGGGUAGUCUAAGGGUGUGCAACAGGGAUUCCUUCACGAAAAAAGGAUGUUACGGCUGGGAACCCAAAUCUGCAUCAGGGGUCUCCUCUAGCAUGAUUUCCAGUCCGAGUUCCUCCGGUAGCCCCUUGUAUGCAGCUACAUCUCCAUUGGCCAUGUCUUGCUCCAGCCUUGAUCUCCCUCCCUUUUUGUUCCGUCCCUUCAUCUCACUCCUAUCCGUGAUCUCCAUUGAAGGAUGCCAGAUCGUCACACAUCGAAGAUCCAGUAUGCAGCCACAAAAGAGUCCCGGUAAAGCCAUUUAAUCUCCUAACUAUCUUCGGGUAAGGUCAGGCGGUUUUGUUCAUGUGGAUUCCACAGCCCAUGACACGACCCCAAGAACAGCCGACUCCUAAAGACCGAAUAUCAUGAGGUUCUUGGACGACCAAGACCCGUUGGUGCGAACUUAUUAUGGUAUGGAUAAUCUAAAUCUCGCGUACUCGAUUCCACCUUCCGCAUCGUUCAUACCAAUUCACAUGUUUAGUAUUGUAUCAUAUUUAGAAAUUAUUUAAGUAUACAAUUAUGAAUUAGUUUUGUUGAUGUUGUAGAUUCAUCUUUGUGAUUGUUAGACUAAAGAUUUGAUUUGAUUACAAAAAGUAAAAUAUUGCAGGUAAGGUUUUCUUACUGUGAUUUAAAUGGUCCACUUUGAUAUAGCAUUGGUUUUUGUUUUGUGUUACAAUUCUAAAUUCGUAACUGAAGGUUCAUGUAUAGACGUACAUUUUUACCAUACUGCAUUAUAUUAUAGUGACAAAGAUUUUUCAGUGUAACCAUCUCAACGACUGACCAUCACGAUCAUCAAGAUUAUAGAUCAAGAUACAUGACUCUUUCACCAGUCAUCACUAAAUCAGUUAUAUCUUUGUCUCCAAAUGGUUGCAACUUUUUUGACCUACAAAUCAUAUGUUCGUGAUGGAAAUUUAUCUUUCAAUGAUGUAUUGUAGCUAAAGGUGUAAAUUGAGGAUGUAACUUCAUGUUUGACACUAUCAUAAAUCUUGGGAACCUUCAGAUUUUCUUAGCGAAUUGCAUUGUUAAUGGCGACAUUUAUCUAUAAGUUACCUUCAUAAUUAAUUUUGGCUCAUUUUAAGAUUUUUUUUCUACAACAAGAAUUUAAAAGUCGUGAAGAGAUGUUGCUGAACUUACUGCAUUUGGCAUCUCCCUGAUCAUCAUUAAAGGAGAAGAAGAGGCUAAGGUAACCUCUUAGUGGCAAAAAUUUGGUUCAUUUCUAUAAGAAAUGAAAUUCACAGUUAAUUUUAAUGUCUGCAAUAUAUCACUUUUGUGACCUCCAAUUUCUUUUGUUUUUGUAUGCAGCCUACAAUUGAUCAUACCUAUUGUGUUGUUUAAACAUAUUUUCAUCUGUCACUAACCAUUAUGUGUUUUUCCUUGAUGGUUAAUGUAGGUCAUAUGUAAUCCUUUAGACCAUUAAAUCAGGCUAUUAAUGUUUAUUUCCUGCAAAAAAGAGAAGUUAUGUUCAUGUAUACACUUAUUUGGUUAAUUUAUAACAAUGGACAUCUGACACUCGACACAUCUUUUCACCUAUAUAGGUUAAGGAGAUGUAUCUUCAUGAUGUACCAUCCUUUUCCAUACCUCGAGCCUUCUGAAGUCUACCAAAAUACAACCUUUGUCAUAGUUUAUUUCAAUAAAAUUUACUCUUACAACUUUCCAGAGCAACGCGCGGGAUGUCAUCUAGUUGACAAGUUCUAGAAAUUACCAGAAGUGGUUUUGAGGGGAUUUGGACAAGUGGAUUUUUUCUCCUUGAUGCACCACUUGGUGGAGAUGCAUUAUUAGGGGGUCAGAAAAAGUCCACAAAAUUUGAGAAUAAAUAGAGACACUUGCGAAUGUAAAGCUGCUCAAAUUUGGUAUUGGACAAAGAGGGUUUUGGAAUAUUUUUAUGGACCAAAACAAUUUGUAUUGACAUGAAACUUGGCAAGAUCAUCACAUAUAUCAUGUGUGAUCUCCUAGAAGUUUAUUGGAAUUAUUUGACAAUAUUUUUUA
RNAcentral lists this long non-coding RNA (2070 nucleotides) under Hordeum vulgare. RNAcentral describes it as "long non-coding RNA (HVUL_LNC015837)". The record is from RNAcentral. Lineage: Eukaryota; Viridiplantae; Streptophyta; Magnoliopsida; Poales; Poaceae.